Molecule: ribosomal RNA, 239 nt
Filed under: uncultured bacterium
Lineage: Bacteria
Description: partial 16S ribosomal RNA
Rfam family: Bacterial small subunit ribosomal RNA
Source: RNAcentral
GAUCCUGGCUCAGGAUGAACGCUGGCGGCGUGCCUAACACAUGCAAGUCGAACGGAGCUGCUUUGAUGAAGUUUUCGGAUGGAUUUAAAACAGCUUAGUGGCGGACGGGUGAGUAACGCGUGGGUAACCUGCCUCACACUGGUGGGAUAACAGUUAGAAAUAGCUGCUAAUACCGCAUAAGCGCACGGUUCCGCAUGGAACAGUGUAGAAAACUCCGGUGGUGUGAGAUGGACCCGCGU